RNAcentral lists this long non-coding RNA (214 nucleotides) under Elaeis guineensis (African oil palm). RNAcentral's name for it is "long non-coding RNA (EGUI_LNC046068)". The record is from RNAcentral. Lineage: Eukaryota; Viridiplantae; Streptophyta; Magnoliopsida; Arecales; Arecaceae.
GUGUAGAGGAAGGGGCGCACAAGGGAUAAGGUGGUGCAUGGAUUGGUUGCCCAUUCAAAUUCAAAGGAAGUUUGAAUUUGAAUGGCCAACCAACCUAUCUUUAUCCACUUAGAUGGUGCACACAGGUGGGGCAUGGGAAGGCUUCUGCAUGGGAAAAAAUUCAUGAGAACUUGUUUCUCGUGAAUUCAAAAAGGCACAGGUGAGGUGAGGUGGC